GAAAAAGCUGAAAAUUCCACAUGAUUUAUUUAAUAAAAAUAAACUUAAAGACCGAUUGGAUGAUAUAUUUAUUUAUAAAAGGAGAAGAGUUUUUAAAUCGGCGUCGUAACUUAAGGUGGCGAAAGAUCCAGUCGAUGAGAGUUAUAUCGCAGUUACAACUUGAGAUUGAUGGAAAGGAAGGAUUCUGCAGAUUCUACGGUAGGACUCGCCGCAGCCGGCCGGCGAUGGCGUGAGAAAAGCCCGGCCUAGUCGAAAACGUGACGAGAAGCGGAGGAGCUCAAUGCCGAAAUCGACCAAGUCGUCGAGGACGGCGAAAUCGCCCAAGUCCGCGGUUUCCCGUCCUUCGAAGAAGAAAAGGCACAGAGGAGACACGGAUGAGACCGAGUCGAGCUCUUCGUCGUGUGAAUCUUCGGUGAGGCACCCAGCCGAAGUCCGGCAGCCGGUCAGAAAAGGGGCAGCAUUCUGCAAACGACUCUGCAUGUGCUGCUGCUUUGUCCUCGUCCUCCUAGGAUUCAUGUAUGCUACCAUUUUCUUACUCGUUCAUUAUAAAAUAAUAAUCGUCUUGCAAAAAUAAGCAACUUGCGCAAUAAUAAAACUGCUUGUUUUUAAUAAAAAAAACAUC
Molecule: RNA transcript, 622 nt
Organism: Cimex lectularius (bed bug)
Lineage: Eukaryota; Metazoa; Arthropoda; Insecta; Hemiptera; Cimicidae
Exons: 2
Source: RefSeq, a predicted model, not a curated record